Molecule: long non-coding RNA, 347 nt
Filed under: Rattus norvegicus (Norway rat)
Lineage: Eukaryota; Metazoa; Chordata; Mammalia; Rodentia; Muridae
Description: long non-coding RNA NONRATT031834
Source: RNAcentral
AGGAGUUUGUGGUUUUGAGCCUUCCAGGAAUCACCUGGCCUCCGGUUGAGAUGGCCCUCCUCAGACUUACUGAGUGCUGGCCACACCACAUGAGGAGUCAGGCUAAAGAAUUCCAACACCGUCCCUGCUGUGAGCAGGACUUGCAUGUGACAUUUCUGAGGUUUCUUUCCUUGACUUUCAAAACAGGGAUGCCUGACAGAUCACACCCAGCCAACAGAACACGUGUCUGGGGAAGCCUGGAUCCCUCUGUGCGGAGGAACAAAUCAGGAGUCUUGGGGAUGAAGGAGCGAUGUCUGCCCAAGUUCUCAGGGCUGUCCAGACAGAAGGCAAGCCUUUGUUCUUCCUGA